CCCUUACGGCCAGGGCUACACACGUGCUACAAUGGGGCGUACAGAGAGCUGCGAUACCGCGAGGUGGAGCCAAUCUCUUAAAGCGUCUCUCAGUUCGGAUUGUUCUCUGCAACUCGAGAACAUGAAGCUGGAAUCACUAGUAAUCGCAGAUCAGCUAUGCUGCGGUGAAUACGUUCCCGGGUCUU
Molecule: ribosomal RNA, 185 nt
Filed under: uncultured Sulfuricurvum sp.
Lineage: Bacteria; Pseudomonadati; Campylobacterota; Epsilonproteobacteria; Campylobacterales; Sulfurimonadaceae
Description: partial 16S ribosomal RNA
Rfam family: Bacterial small subunit ribosomal RNA
Source: RNAcentral